RNAcentral lists this transfer RNA (73 nucleotides) under Mustela putorius furo (domestic ferret). It matches the Rfam family "tRNA". Rfam says of the family: Transfer RNA (tRNA) molecules are approximately 80 nucleotides in length. Lineage: Eukaryota; Metazoa; Chordata; Mammalia; Carnivora; Mustelidae. The record is from Rfam by way of RNAcentral.
GUCUAGCUAGUUCUGUCAGUAGAGCAUGUGACUCUUGAUCUCAGGAUCGUGAGUUCAAUCCCCAUGUUGGCCA